GGGGCACCAGAGAGAACAGUCCAUGAGUAUCACAUGCCAGGGGACAGCCCUCGGGUCCAUACUGUUCGAUUUGGGAAAAUUUGACUCCUGCUCUCUUUGUCCUCGUGGUGGCAUUUGUGAGGGACAAGCUUUGGUAGAGAAACAUGCUGGGUGGUCGUGGCCUUGGGCUGAAGAGUCUGUCAGUACUCAUGCUCAAGCCUGUGCCAAUUCUCGGCCAACAAAGACAGUGGUUCUAAACCAGGGCAUCAGAGCACACAGGUGUGACAUGGUAAAAGGUGUGUUGCUAAAAGUCCCACAGCAUUUUUAAUCUAAGGAAAAAAAAAAAAAAACAACAACAACAACAAAAAAAUAAAAGUCCCACAGCAUGGAAAGAACUGACUUUUGUUAAAUCACUCAGAACUAACUUAAGGUUUUUGCCUUCUCACUUGGGAAGUGCUCACAUCCUCCUGGGGUGGGGGUGGGGGACGGAUGCUCACAGCAGGGGCCUCACACAUGACUGUCCUUUGCUCCAAGCCUCCUGGGACACAGAGAGUGAGGCCCACUGACCUAGUGGAGUCUAUUUUAGUAGAAGAGUCUGUUUGGGGAAUAGAGGUCUAACACAAAAAGGUGAGAGGCGAUGGCAAAUGUUGGCGAGGGUGAAGGACAAGAGGACUCUCACACACUGUUGAGUAACGGCUAACAGUUAUGAAGACGCCACAUUUACCCAGCAGCUCCAGUCCCAGAUACAAACCCUGAACUGUGACCAGGAUACACAUACGAGCAUGUUCGAGGAGCUUUGUUCAUAAGAGUUCAUUACUGGAAACAAGCCAGUGAUGGUCACAGUAGAAUGGAAUAAAAAAUGGCGUUAUCUCCAUGUGCUGGACAGCACAGCUACCUACCACAGCAUGGAUGAAUCUUAUAAAUGCAAUGCAGAAAGAAGCAGGAUCAAGGAAUUUCAAAGAAUAAAGUUCCAAAAGAAGCAAGAUUCAACUCCUUUGUUGAGAGGAACAUACUUAGGUGAUUACACAAAAAAAGAAAAGCAAGGAAGUGUGUCCCAGAGCCAGUUAGUCAGGACAGCAGUUGCUUGUGUGGGGCUGGUUGUGUGGGGCUGGCAGUGUUCUGUGUCUUUGUGUGGGUGGCGGUUUCAUGUGUGUCUUUAUGAAAAUGUGUUAAGCUGUACAUGGAUACUUUAUAUGCCCCAGUUAAUACAGUAUAUUACACAAUGAAAUAAAAGCUGGAGUGGGGAGAGAAAUACAGGGGGGAAGAAAAAAAGAAAAAAGGAAACAAGGAAGGAAGGAAAUAAAGAAGGAGAAAGAGGGAGAAAGAUCUCCAAACCGCUGUCAUGUAUCUGAGGUGUCAGAUGUCAGAACUAGCCACAAAAAUUCCAGUAACCGCAAAGGUGGAUCGAGGGAUGAGAAAAAGGACAGGGCAGGGGCUGGUGGUUGGGGUGCAGGGAAGACCGCAGUGCAGCCAGACACAGGGCGCAUGCGCACGGCCAGGGCCGCGGUCUCCAUUUUGUGCUUUCUGGAGGAAGCUCCCAGCGUCCGGCCUCACUCAGUGGACCUCAGCAAAGACCACGCUGUGGAGCAACAUGAGGCCUUUCGAGGAGGCUUUUCAUCAACCAUCAAGCUCUACUAGAUUCGGUGACAGUGAGCUGAAUUCAGUUCUCGGGACCCUGUCUGCAGUCGCCUGCCUCUACUCAGAAGCACAUGCCAUGUCCUGUACUGAGAUCACCUUUUCCUCCUCCUGUGGGCUUGAAUUCCUGUUCAUCCCUGGCCCUCUGAAAACUCCUUGGACCCUCCAGACAAGGUUCUUCACCACUUCCCUGACAUCCCUGUCUCGACAUAUCCUCUAAUUAAUACUUGUCAUGCUUGAUUGAAAUGAUGUGUGGAUAUGUCAUCCUGACAUCUCUGUAACCCAGCAUCUAAUAUAAAGCUGUGCAUAUAGGAGGGAGUUGAUAAAAAUGUUGGUUGAAUUGAUCUGAAUUUAAUUGAAGUUUGGAACUUUGAUGUGCUAUUAUGUCCUAUUAUGGUUCUUUGUCUAGGAUCCCUCAAAUAUGCUAAGUUCUCCCCCAGUUCCCUGCUGUCCUGCUCUCUCUCUCUCUCUCUAGCCUUGCCUAACCUCGCUUCAGUUCACCUAUAUGAUUCUUCAGGACUCAGAUAAGGAGUCACCUCCUUCGAGAAGCCUCUCCUGAUGCCCCCUUGCUAAGCUCAGACUGAGUGUAGGCCCCUCCUGUCCUGCUACAAACACCUCAUCUCCCAUCUCCAUGUCCAGCAUCUGGUACAAUGUCUGGCACAAGAUAGAUGCUCAGGAAAUAUCGGCUGAAUGAACGACAGUCUCCUGGGUCAGAAUGUUGGAAAAAAUUCAUCUCCAAGUUUUUCUCAAGAUACCACUAAACUAUUUUUGAGGAAGGAUCAAAUAAGUACCAUAUCAAAUAUGUGGAUGUAUACUUAGAAAUAAAGUACAAUAUAAAACUAGAUGUGCAUCUAUGUAGAUAUAAAACAUUAAUUAAGAAACAUGUCUAGGCUUCCUGAUUAUACUUUAAGACUAGAAACUUGUUAUUUAUUUAUUUAUUUAUUUUGAGACAGAGUCUCACUCUGUU
Non-coding RNA from Microcebus murinus (gray mouse lemur), 2581 nucleotides. The record is from RefSeq and is a predicted model, not a curated record. NCBI's taxonomy places the organism in Eukaryota, Metazoa, Chordata, Mammalia, Primates, Cheirogaleidae.